This 468-nucleotide ribosomal RNA is filed under the name uncultured bacterium. Its description in RNAcentral is "partial 16S ribosomal RNA". It matches the Rfam family "Bacterial small subunit ribosomal RNA", at positions 28 to 507 of the family's 1533-position model. The record is from RNAcentral.
GACGAACGCUGGCGGCGUGCUUAACACAUGCAAGUCGAACGGAAAGGCCCUGCUUUUGCGGGGUGCUUGAGUGGCGAACGGGUGAGUAACACGCGAGUAACAUGCCCUUGACUUUGGGAUAAAUUCAGGAAACUGGGGAUAAUAUCGGAUAGGAGCUCCUGCUGCAUGGUGGGGGUUGGAAAGAUUCGGCGGUUGGGGAUGGAAUAGCGGCUUAUCAGCUUGUUGGUGGAGUAGUGGCUUACCAAGGCUAUGACGGAUAGCCGGCCUGAGAGGGGGACCGGCCACAUUGGGACUGAGGUACGGCCCAGACUCCUACGGGAGGCAGCAGUGGGAAAUAUUGCACAGUGGGCGGAAGCCUGAUGCAGCAACGCCGCGUGCGUAAUGACGGCCUUCGAGUUGUAAACCUCUUUCUCCGGUGACGAAGCGUGAGUGACGGUAAUGAGUAAGGAAGCACCGGCUAACUACGUG